Molecule: non-coding RNA, 253 nt
Filed under: uncultured bacterium
Lineage: Bacteria
Also listed under: 1 other name
Description: partial 16S ribosomal RNA
Rfam family: Bacterial small subunit ribosomal RNA
Source: RNAcentral
UACGGAGGAUCCGAGCGUUAUCCGGAUUUAUUGGGUUUAAAGGGUGCGUAGGCGGCUUUUUAAGUCAGGGGUGAAAUACGGCAGCUCAACUGUCGCAGUGCCCUUGAUACUGAAGAGCUUGAAUGUGGCUGAAGAUGGCGGAAUGAGACAAGUAGCGGUGAAAUGCAUAGAUAUGUCUCAGAACUCCGAUUGCGAAGGCAGCUGUCUAAACCAUUAUUGACGCUGAUGCACGAAAGCGUGGGGAUCGAACAGG